RNAcentral lists this ribosomal RNA (490 nucleotides) under uncultured bacterium. Its description in RNAcentral is "bacterial SSU rRNA". It matches the Rfam family "Bacterial small subunit ribosomal RNA", at positions 28 to 507 of the family's 1533-position model. The record is from RNAcentral.
GAUGAACGCUAGCUACAGGCUUAACACAUGCAAGUCGAGGGGCAGNGGGAUUGAAGCUUGCUUCAAUUGCCGGCGACCGGCGCACGGGUGAGUAACGCGUAUCCAACCUUCCGUUUACUCAGGGAUAGCCUUUCGAAAGAAAGAUUAAUACCUGAUAGUAUGGUGAGAUUGCAUGAUAGCACCAUUAAAGAUUUAUUGGUAAACGAUGGGGAUGCGUUCCAUUAGGUAGUAGGCGGGGUAACGGCCCACCUAGCCGACGAUGGAUAGGGGUUCUGAGAGGAAGGUCCCCCACAUUGGAACUGAGACACGGUCCAAACUCCUACGGGAGGCAGCAGUGAGGAAUAUUGGUCAAUGGGCGAGAGCCUGAACCAGCCAAGUAGCGUGAAGGAUGACUGCCCUAUGGGUUGUAAACUUCUUUUAUAAAGGAAUAAAGUCGGGUAUGGAUACCCGUUUGCAUGUACUUUAUGAAUAAGGAUCGGCUAACUCCGUG